AAUCAAUGAACUUGAAUAAGUAUAUAUUUUGAAAAUAUAAUAAAGAAUUUUUUUUUCUAUUGAUUU
Molecule: transfer RNA, 66 nt
Filed under: Gloeosoma sp. GLO01
Lineage: Eukaryota; Metazoa; Arthropoda; Insecta; Coleoptera; Corylophidae
Description: tRNA-Ser
Source: RNAcentral